AUCAACUCCAAGAAGGAAUUCAGCUACAAGAAGGAGUUGGACUUCAAGAAGGAAGUCAAUUUCAAGAAGAAGGUAGGUUCAAGGAAGAAAGUCAGCCUCAGGAAUCACCUUCAGCUCAAGUCAUCAUCUUGACCUGCCUCUUGGAAGGAACUUGGAUUGCCUACCUCAGACGUGUGUAGCAGAUGUGGAGAGGAGACACAGAGCCCAGAGAAGGCGGAAGGUAAUAAGAAUUGUUUACCAAGCGACCCUUUGGAGGAGCUGCUCGAGGAGGACCACAAAGUCAUAAAUCCUCUUGACAAAGCUCCAAAGCAUAUACAGUUCACCAAAGCCUAUUUUCCUGAUAACCAGAGAAAUCCUGCUGUUGUUUGUUCAUUCCACCAAUGAAAUACUCUUUAAUUUAUUUUAUUAUUAUAGAUGAUGCACCAGAAAAUAAUCCUGUAUAAGGCAGAUGCCCAAAGUAACCUUGGUGUUCAGAGGUCAGUGAGACAAAGUUAGUAAGAAAUUAUUAAAGCCUUAUUCUCACUGAUUAAAAGGCCAUUUGAAUGUUUUCUGAAGAUGUAGUUAAUGGGCCAAGCCAAAGCUUACUGAAUAAAGUAGCUAAUGUAACUAUUUAUUUGUUGUUG
Molecule: long non-coding RNA, 623 nt
Filed under: Monodelphis domestica (gray short-tailed opossum)
Lineage: Eukaryota; Metazoa; Chordata; Mammalia; Didelphimorphia; Didelphidae
Description: lncRNA (ENSMODG00000032114.2)
Source: RNAcentral